RNAcentral lists this ribosomal RNA (401 nucleotides) under uncultured bacterium. RNAcentral's name for it is "bacterial SSU rRNA". It matches the Rfam family "Bacterial small subunit ribosomal RNA", at positions 30 to 417 of the family's 1533-position model. The record is from RNAcentral.
AGUGAACGCUGGCGGCAGGCCUAACACAUGCAAGUCGAGCGGCAGCGCGUCCGACCACCCUCGGGUGGUCGGAUGGCGGCGAGCGGCGGACGGGUGAGGAAUGCAUCGGAAUCUGCCUCGUUGUGGGGGAUAACGUAGGGAAACUUACGCUAAUACCGCAUACGACCUACGGGUGAAAGUGGGGGACCUUCGGGCCUCACGCGAUGAGAUGAGCCGAUGCCGGAUUAGCUAGUUGGCGGGGUAAAGGCCCACCAAGGCGACGAUCCGUAGCUGGUCUGAGAGGAUGAUCAGCCACACUGGAACUGAGACACGGUCCAGACUCCUACGGGAGGCAGCAGUGGGGAAUAUUGGACAAUGGGGGCAACCCUGAUCCAGCCAUGCCGCGUGUGUGAAGAAGGCCU